Molecule: non-coding RNA, 27 nt
Filed under: Homo sapiens (human)
Lineage: Eukaryota; Metazoa; Chordata; Mammalia; Primates; Hominidae
Source: RNAcentral
UGCUUUGCUUGGAAGUUAAGAACAUUC